AACAAUAUGGCUCUCCUCAAGAACUUGGCCGCGUACCUGUGCGUGAUCCUGGCCUCGCUCGCCUUCGUGGCGCAGGGCGCGCUCGCAGCCAGAGCAGGUGCUUUAAGCAACGUGAGGGGGUACACGGUUAAGGACCCGCGCGGUGGUGGUGGUUAUGGGAAUGGGUAUCCUCCAUGAUAGGCCGGAGAUGAUGACACUUGGACCACGGAAAUACUACAAAUAAGUCCGCGUACCAUGAAUAAAUUUGCACACGUUGCCGAUA
Hordeum vulgare subsp. vulgare (domesticated barley) is the source of this 262-nucleotide long non-coding RNA. RefSeq lists it as uncharacterized. NCBI's taxonomy places the organism in Eukaryota, Viridiplantae, Streptophyta, Magnoliopsida, Poales, Poaceae. The transcript has 2 exons. The record is from RefSeq and is a predicted model, not a curated record.